GGGCCACUAGCUCAGUUGGUAGAGCAACAGACUCUUAAUCUGUGGGUCGAAGGUUCAAUUCCUUCGUGGCUCA
This 73-nucleotide transfer RNA is filed under the name Treponema sp. RNAcentral's name for it is "tRNA-Lys". It matches the Rfam family "tRNA". From Rfam's summary of the family: Transfer RNA (tRNA) molecules are approximately 80 nucleotides in length. Lineage: Bacteria; Pseudomonadati; Spirochaetota; Spirochaetia; Treponematales; Treponemataceae. The record is from RNAcentral.